Molecule: transfer RNA, 67 nt
Filed under: Ictidomys tridecemlineatus (thirteen-lined ground squirrel)
Lineage: Eukaryota; Metazoa; Chordata; Mammalia; Rodentia; Sciuridae
Description: Spermophilus tridecemlineatus (thirteen-lined ground squirrel) tRNA
Rfam family: tRNA
About the family: Transfer RNA (tRNA) molecules are approximately 80 nucleotides in length. Their secondary structure includes four short double-helical elements and three loops (D, anti-codon, and T loops).
Source: Rfam by way of RNAcentral
AGUUAUAGCUCAGUGGUAGAGCACUUUUCUCACACAUAUGAGGCACUGGGUUCAAUUCUCAGAACUA